AGUUUGAUCAUGGCUCAGAUUGAACGCUGGCGGCAGGCCUAACACAUGCAAGUCGAACGGUAACAGGAAGCAGCUUGCUGCUUUGCUGACGAGUGGCGGACGGGUGAGUAAUGUCUGGGAAACUGCCUGAUGGAGGGGGAUAACUACUGGAAACGGUAGCUAAUACCGCAUAACGUCGCAAGACCAAAGAGGGGGACCUUCGGGCCUCUUGCCAUCGGAUGUGCCCAGAUGGGAUUAGCUGGUAGGUGGGGUAACGGCUCACCUAGGCGACGAUCCCUAGCUGGUCUGAGAGGAUGACCAGCCACACUGGAACUGAGACACGGUCCAGACUCCUACGGGAGGCAGCAGUGGGGAAUAUUGCACAAUGGGCGCAAGCCUGAUGCAGCCAUGCCGCGUGUAUGAAGAAGGCCUUCGGGUUGUAAAGUACUUUCAGCGGGGAGGAAGGGAGUAAAGUUAAUACCUUUGCUCAUUGACGUUACCCGCAGAAGAAGCACCGGCUAA
This 501-nucleotide ribosomal RNA is filed under the name Escherichia coli. Its description in RNAcentral is "bacterial SSU rRNA". It matches the Rfam family "Bacterial small subunit ribosomal RNA", at positions 10 to 500 of the family's 1533-position model. Lineage: Bacteria; Pseudomonadati; Pseudomonadota; Gammaproteobacteria; Enterobacterales; Enterobacteriaceae. The record is from RNAcentral.